UGACUCUAACCUCUUGAAAGACUUCUGAGU
RNAcentral lists this non-coding RNA (30 nucleotides) under Rattus norvegicus (Norway rat). Lineage: Eukaryota; Metazoa; Chordata; Mammalia; Rodentia; Muridae. The record is from RNAcentral.